This 475-nucleotide ribosomal RNA is filed under the name unidentified nematode Sourhope farm. RNAcentral describes it as "SSU rRNA". It matches the Rfam family "Eukaryotic small subunit ribosomal RNA", at positions 58 to 529 of the family's 1831-position model. The record is from RNAcentral. Lineage: Eukaryota; Metazoa; Nematoda.
UCUAAGUAUAACCUGCCAGACAGGGAAACUGCGUACGACUCAUUACACCAGCCUUAAUUUACUUGACCUUGACAACCUACUUGGAUAACUGUGGUAAUUCUAGAGCUAAUACAUGCACCAAAGCUCCGAUCCUCGCGGAGAGGAGCGCAUUUGUUCGCCACAAAACCAAGCGCCCAUCUGGGCGUCCAGUGCUGAACCAGAACAACUCAGCUGAUCGCACGGUCUUGUACCGGCGACGUGUCUUUCAAGUGUCUGCCUUAUCAACUUUCGAUGGUAGUGUACCUGACUACCAUGGUUGUGACGGGUAACGGAGGAUAAGGGUUCGACUCCGGAGAAGGGGCCUGAGAAAUGGCCACUACGUCUAAGGAUGGCAGCAGGCGCGCAAAUUACCCACUCUCAACGCGAGGAGGUAGUGACGAGAAAUAACGAGACCGUUCUCAUACGAGGCCGGUUAUUGGAAUGGGUACAAUUUAAA